GUAGCGAAAUUCCUUGUCGGGUAAGUUCCGACCUGCACGAAUGGCGUAACGACUUGGGCGCUGUCUCAACCAUGGACCCGGUGAAAUUGCACUGUUCGUGAAGAUGCGAACUACCCGCGGAAGGACGGAAAGACCCCGUGAACCUUUACUACAGCUUGGCAUUGAUCGUUGGCUCGGUGCGUAGAGGAUAGGUGGGAGGCUUUGAACCCCGGGCGCCAGCCCGGGCGGAGCCGCCCUUGGAAUACCACCCUCACCGUUCCGGCGAUCUAACGCGCGGCCGCGAUCCGGCGCGCGGACCGUGCCAGGCGGGUAGUUUGACUGGGGCGGUCGCCUCCUAAAGUGUAACGGAGGCGUGCGUAAGGUUCGCUCAGGACGGUCGGCAACCGUCCGCAGAGCACAAGAGUACAAGCGGGCUUGACUGCGAGGCCGACGAGCCGAGCAGAUGGGAAACCAGGUUCUAGUGAUCCGGCGGCCCGGCGUGGAACGGCCGUCGCUCAACGGAUAAAAGGUACUCCGGGGAUAACAGGCUGAUCUUGCCCAAGAGUCCACAUCGACGGCAAGGUUUGGCACCUCGAUGUCGGCUCAUCGCAUCCUGGGGCUGUAGCAGGUCCCAAGGGUUGGGCUGUUCGCCCAUUAAAGCGGUACGCGAGCUGGGUUCAGAACGUCGUGAGACAGUUCGGUCCCUAUCCUCCGCGGGCGCAAGAGAACUGAGGAGAUCUGCCCCUAGUACGAGAGGACCGGGGUGGACGGACCUCCGGUGCAGCGGUUGUCGGCCAACGGCACUGCCGCGUAGCUGCGUCCGGAACGGAUAAGCGCUGAAGGCAUCUAAGCGCGAAGCCGUCUCCAAGAUGAGUUCUCUUUCCGGUAAGACCCCUCGUAGACCACGAGGUUGAUAGGCCGCAGCUGCAAGCGCCGCGAGGCGCUCAGGCGAGCGGUACUAAUCGGUCGAGCUCUUCAUCUU
This 961-nucleotide ribosomal RNA is filed under the name human gut metagenome. RNAcentral's name for it is "bacterial LSU rRNA". It matches the Rfam family "Bacterial large subunit ribosomal RNA", at positions 1956 to 2925 of the family's 2925-position model. The record is from RNAcentral.